UGGGAAGUAAUAGUCGUAACAAGGUUUCCGUAGGUGAACCUGCGGAAGGAUCAUUACCGAGUGCGGGCCCCUCGGGGCCCAACCUCCCACCCGUGUUGCCCGAACCUAUGUUGCCUCGGCGGGCCCCGCGCCCGCCGACGGCCCCCCUGAACGCUGUCUGAAGUUGCAGUCUGAGACCUAUAACGAAAUUAGUUAAAACUUUCAACAACGGAUCUCUUGGUUCCGGCAUCGAUGAAGAACGCAGCGAAAUGCGAUAACUAAUGUGAAUUGCAGAAUUCAGUGAAUCAUCGAGUCUUUGAACGCACAUUGCGCCCUCUGGUAUUCCGGAGGGCAUGCCUGUCCGAGCGUCAUUGCUGCCCUCAAGCCCGGCUUGUGUGUUGGGCCCCGUCCCCCCCGCCGGGGGGACGGGCCCGAAAGGCAGCGGCGGCACCGCGUCCGGUCCUCGAGCGUAUGGGGCUUCGUCACCCGCUCUAGUAGGCCCGGCCGGCGCCAGCCGACCCCCAACCUUUAAUUAUCUCAGGUGACCUCGGAUCAAUAAGUAGCCCGCUCUCA
This 552-nucleotide ribosomal RNA is filed under the name Penicillium sp. Its description in RNAcentral is "eukaryotic LSU rRNA". The stretch from base 197 to 350 matches the Rfam family "5.8S ribosomal RNA". Lineage: Eukaryota; Fungi; Ascomycota; Eurotiomycetes; Eurotiales; Aspergillaceae. The record is from RNAcentral.